Molecule: ribosomal RNA, 771 nt
Filed under: Hypotrachyna osseoalba
Lineage: Eukaryota; Fungi; Ascomycota; Lecanoromycetes; Lecanorales; Parmeliaceae
Description: partial small subunit ribosomal RNA
Rfam family: Bacterial small subunit ribosomal RNA
Source: RNAcentral
GAGGAUGUAUACCAAUAGCUAGUGGCAUCAUUGUAAAGAUGAUGCAAUAUUGACUAUGUUGAAUAAAAUUCUAGGUAGAAUUAUGAUAAUGACAUUGUCUGCCUAUGUGUCUUGACCAAAUUACGUGCCAGCAGUCGCGGUAAUACGUAGAAGACUAGUGUUAUUCAUGUUUAAUCGGUUUAAAGGGUACCUAGACGGCAGAUCAAGCUUUCCGAGCAGAAAAAAAGUAAAAAGGACUAAUUUGCUAGAGUUACUUACGAGGGGGUUUUAAAGUACUGCUGGUGUAGAGAUGAAAUUCUUUAAUACCUAUUUUCGAAAGAAUUAUAAUGGCACAGGUAUAGGCGAAGGCAUCCCCUUAUGUGAUAACUGACGUUGAGGGACGAAGGCUUUAUACAACGAACGGGAUUAGAUACCCCAUUAGUGGAAGCAGUAAAUGAUGAAUGUCAUAGAUUAGUAGAUAGGUUCAUUCUAUAAAUGAAAGUGUAAGCAUUCCACCUCAUGAGUAAUAUGGCAACAUUGGAAUUGAAAUCAUUAGACCGUAUCUGAAACCAGUAGUGAAGUAUGUUGUUUAAUUUGAUGAUCCGCAAAAAACCUUACCACAAUUUGAAUAUUUAUAUUUUUUUUUUUUGUCCUUAAUUUUCUUCUAAAGUGGAAAGAAAUUAAUAAAGAGGCAAUAAGAUAUAUUUACAAGCGUUGCACGGCUGUCUUCAGUUAAUGUCGCGAGAUUUUGGUUAGAUCCAUAAAAUUAACGUAAACCCUUACUUUAUUUUU